AUUGAACGCUGGCGGCAGGCCUAACACAUGCAAGUCGAACGGUAACAGGGAUCAGCUUGCUGAUUCGCUGACGAGUGGCGGACGGGUGAGUAAUGUCUGGGAAACUGCCUGAUGGAGGGGGAUAACUACUGGAAACGGUAGCUAAUACCGCAUAACGUCGCAAGACCAAAGAGGGGGACCUUCGGGCCUCUUGCCAUCGGAUGUGCCCAGAUGGGAUUAGCUAGUAGGUGGGGUAACGGCUCACCUAGGCGACGAUCCCUAGCUGGUCUGAGAGGAUGACCAGCCACGCUGGAACUGAGACACGGUCCAGACUCCUACGGGAGGCAGCAGUGGGGAAUAUUGCACAAUGGGCGCAAGCCUGAUGCAGCCAUGCCGCGUGUAUGAAGAAGGCCUUCGGGUUGUAAAGUACUUUCAGCGGGGAGGAAGGGAGUAAAGUUAAUACCUUUGCUCAUUGACGUUACCCGCAGAAGAAGCACCGGCUAACUCCGUG
This 490-nucleotide ribosomal RNA is filed under the name uncultured bacterium. RNAcentral's name for it is "partial 16S ribosomal RNA". It matches the Rfam family "Bacterial small subunit ribosomal RNA", at positions 30 to 507 of the family's 1533-position model. The record is from RNAcentral.